UGGGGAAUAUUGCACAAUGGGCGCAAGCCUGAUGCAGCCAUGCCGCGUGUGUGAAGAAGGCCUUCGGGUUGUAAAGCACUUUCAGCGAGGAGGAAGGUGGUGAGCUUAAUACGCUCAUCAAUUGACGUUACUCGCAGAAGAAGCACCGGCUAACUCCGUGCCAGCAGCCGCGGUAAUACGGAGGGUGCAAGCGUUAAUCGGAAUUACUGGGCGUAAAGCGCACGCAGGCGGUUUGUUAAGUCAGAUGUGAAAUCCCCGGGCUCAACCUGGGAACUGCAUUUGAAACUGGCAAGCUAGAGUCUCGUAGAGGGGGUAGAAUUCCAGGUGUAGCGGUGAAAUGCGUAGAGAUCUGGAGGAAUACCGGUGGCGAAGGCGGCCCCCUGGACGAAGACUGACGCUCAGGUGCGAAAGCGUGGGGAGCAAAACAGGAUUAGAUACCCUGGUAGUCCACGCUGUAAAACGAUGUCGAUUUUGGAGGUUGUGCCCUUGAGGCGUGGCUUCCGGAGCUAACGCGUUAAAUCGACCGCCUGGGGAGUACGGCCGCAAGGUUAAAACUUAAAUGAAUUGAC
RNAcentral lists this ribosomal RNA (569 nucleotides) under uncultured bacterium. RNAcentral's name for it is "partial 16S ribosomal RNA". It matches the Rfam family "Bacterial small subunit ribosomal RNA", at positions 355 to 914 of the family's 1533-position model. The record is from RNAcentral.